GACACAUUACUCUGUUCACAAAUUAUACAAGAGUAUACACAUGUACCUAGUGCAUCUUUUCUUGUACGCUUUAAAUAUCUUUGGAAUAUAUGGAUAUUCCAGCGGAAUGGUGGUCUGGAUGAUGGCGACGGAGGUGGUAGUGGUGGUAGCAGUGGGGUGGUGAUGAGAAAUUAUGGUUGUACUAUGUUUGUGUGUCCUGAAUACAAAGGCAAAACAAUCAUUCUUGAAAUGAAAUUUAACCAAACUUGUGACCAAAUAAGCACCAAUAGAGUCUAAUUUUAAGCUACAUGUUACUCCAAAUCCAUUCUCCAACUUAAAGGAGAUGAAUUUUGAUAGAAAUUAUGGUUGUAGUAUGUUUGUGUGUUCACUAUAUAUUAUAAAAUCAGGAUUCUGCUACACAUUUAGUGGAUAUUUGUUUGGUUUCUAACUAUGCAAGGCGUUUGAUUAACAACCAAUAAGCCUCGGACAUACCAAAAGAAUACUUAAUUAGAGUGUCAUAAGCCAAAGUUCCUAAAAUUUGUAGUUGUCUUCUCCAUGCUUCAAAAAACUACCUAAAGAGUUUAGCUUUACCACAUCUAUCUUAAAAAGAAAUUUAAGGACCAAUGUUUAGACUUGUGAUUUCAAACCUCAUUCUUCCAGGAACCCAAAUCCAUUGCCAUAUCAAACAAGCUGUUAGUGACAUGGCAUUGGAAUUCAAGAAAAGAAGCCCCCUUGGUUUUCUGCUUCUGAAAAAUAAAAGUUCAUUGGAUCUCUGGAAGUCAAAGGAAUUCCCCUUCAACUAGAAAACUGAAAAAAAUGUUUAAUCUUAGUGAAACUCCUAGUGAUCUUUUAAAUUAUAUAUUAAGUAAUACACAAAGCCAUGCGCUUAAAGCAUUUCACAAUGCUUCGAUAAUUUAAUAUUACUACGCUACACAUCCUUAUUUCACACAUGCAGUCGAUGAUCAGAAACAAUAACAAAGUAUUGUUUCACUAAAAUUCUCUCAAUGAAGGCAAAUUUCAAUAUUUCAGAUUAGGUAAUAACAGAUACAUUUGCACAAAAAACUCAGUAUGAAACAUAUAGAACCAUUCGCUAAAACCACUUGUGUAGCUUAAAAGCAUCUUUCUAUUACAACUACUAGAACUUCCUCAAAAAAAUCCAAAUAACAAUUUAAUCAAAACUUACUUUGUUUUGCAUGGGGAAAUUGAUGAAAUUGUGAUCGAUCGGUAUAAAAGUAUCUUUCUAUUACAACUACUAUAACUUCCACAAAUUUUCAUGUCUUCCUGCAAAAAUGUGUGUCUUCAAGAAGUGCGUUUGUAAAACCUAAAACCGAUCGGCACAAAUAUGUCAUUCUGUUCGGUAAUACCUAAAACGGUUCUACACAAAACAUCAAAAUAAUCGUCGUAAAAUAGGUAAUCGGGAAUUGUAGACACAGAAUGAUGAAAAAACCUUAUCUGUUGAAGGAAUAGAACAUGUGAAGUGUGAGCUUGGAAUCCGUAGCCGGAUUUGAAACCUCGAUCCAGUAAACCCACAGUACUAUUUUCACAUCCAACCCCGAUUUUCCCCUUCUGCCAAAACAACACUCAGUUUUUCCAGCGUUUCAUCAGAACCAAACAUUUCCCAGAAAUAUUCCGGCAAAGUUAUGAAGGAGGGUACCGAAGAAGACCGGUUCGUCUGUGGCCGGGGCGUUAGGCAGGACGCGAAGAACCAAAGGAGUGUCGAUGUAGGAAAGAAGAUGCCGAAUCACCGGUGAGAUGGGGGAGGGGUAAAUCGGUAAUAAUAGAAAGUAUGAUAAAAUUAU
Molecule: long non-coding RNA, 1778 nt
Filed under: Lactuca sativa (garden lettuce)
Lineage: Eukaryota; Viridiplantae; Streptophyta; Magnoliopsida; Asterales; Asteraceae
Description: long non-coding RNA (LSAT_LNC008089)
Source: RNAcentral